RNAcentral lists this long non-coding RNA (545 nucleotides) under Capsicum annuum. RNAcentral describes it as "long non-coding RNA (CANN_LNC008834)". The record is from RNAcentral. Lineage: Eukaryota; Viridiplantae; Streptophyta; Magnoliopsida; Solanales; Solanaceae.
AAAAGUUCAACAUGUACUUUUUUUUUCUUGAAUGGUGUUAAUUAUAUUCAUAAACGAUAAAAAUGUUGGUGUGGAAUUUUAUGGGCAAAACUUCAAGUUUGACAAGUUUUGCAUCAUAGACUGUGUUUUGACUUUUGACCUUGAAGGUUUGACCACGAGAUAAGCCGAUGUCAAAAGUUUAACAUGUAUUUGUUUUUUUCUUGAACGGUAAGAAUUAUAUUCGUAAACGACAAAAAGUUGGUGUGGAAUUUUAUGUACAAGUCGCAAAAAGACAAAAGUAUAGGCCUUUUGUAAUCUUAGAGGAACUCUGUAAAUUCUAAUGAAUUUCUGCUGUAUUUGCAUCCGUCUUACACGAAAAGUGAAAUGACAAGGCACAAUCUUAAUCCUCUUGACUGAAGUUUGCUCAUCUUCAAAAUAUCUCGAGUUCCUUCUGCUUCAAAUCACCCACCACAUACAAGGAGGAAUUGUGUGCCACCAGUUAUUUCUUACUUUGUUCCCACUCUUGCCCAAACCAACAACUCAUAAAAUCCCAUGUAUUCCCCGGC